Molecule: ribosomal RNA, 368 nt
Filed under: uncultured organism
Description: bacterial SSU rRNA
Rfam family: Bacterial small subunit ribosomal RNA
Source: RNAcentral
CGGAGGAUCCGAGCGUUAUCCGGAUUUAUUGGGUUUAAAGGGUGCGUAGGCGGGAUAGUAAGUCAGUGGUGAAAGCCCGCAGCUCAACUGCGGAACUGCCAUUGAUACUGCUAACCUUGAGUAUGUAUGAUGUGGGCGGAAUGUGCAGUGUAGCGGUGAAAUGCUUAGAUAUUGCACAGAACACCGAUUGCGAAGGCAGCUCACAAAACCAUAACUGACGCUGAGGCACGAAAGCGUGGGGAUCAAACAGGAUUAGAUACCCUGGUAGUCCACGCCUUAAACGUUGAGUACUCGAUGUGUGCGAUAUACUGUACGCGUCUAAGCGAAAGUGAUAAGUAUUCCACCUGGGGAGUACGCUCGCAAGAGUG